UUACUUCUGGAGAGACUGUUUGG
This 23-nucleotide non-coding RNA is filed under the name Cricetulus griseus (Chinese hamster). The record is from RNAcentral. Lineage: Eukaryota; Metazoa; Chordata; Mammalia; Rodentia; Cricetidae.